RNAcentral lists this non-coding RNA (22 nucleotides) under Xenopus tropicalis (tropical clawed frog). The record is from RNAcentral. Lineage: Eukaryota; Metazoa; Chordata; Amphibia; Anura; Pipidae.
AAUCACUAGCUAAACUACCAGC